This 802-nucleotide long non-coding RNA is filed under the name Homo sapiens (human). RNAcentral's name for it is "non-protein coding INKA2-AS1:17". The record is from RNAcentral. Lineage: Eukaryota; Metazoa; Chordata; Mammalia; Primates; Hominidae.
CUUUUCUCCCCGAAGAGGACCCUGGGAAGGUGGCUCCCGCCUCACUCCUAGAGUGAAAUCCUCGCAGCCCUGCCCUCGCGGGCGGAGCAGAGACGCCGCCGCUUGGCCGGUUCACGCCUGUCACACAAAGCCGCCGAGGGUCGGCUGCGCCCCUGGCAAGGCUGUAGGGCUGGGGAUACUGAGUAUGACAGGCGAGGUCCCUGCUCUCAAGAACUUACAUGGGAGAGAAGGGGAGACAAGAUAAACAGGAGCCAGAGAAUUCUCGUAGCUGUGAUUAGACAUCAACCUUGGGCAUGCUAAACAUUUCAGCCUGGACACCCUGAGAAGAGCCAGUGCCACUGGUGACAGCUGCUUCUGUGCGGGCUUUUGCUUGGCCAGAGAGGCAGGACCUUCUCCCUGGCAUUUUGAGGAGUGGUGCCGGGUGGGCAGUGACUGCACUAGCAACAGUCUAUACCAAGAGAAGACCUCAAAUUCCCAGAGAAGAAAGGCAGCGAGGCCAAGAAAUGCUGCCGCCGCUUAACAAGUGAAGAUGCAUACUGGAGAAUAGGAACUGAACACGCGAAGGAGUUUCGGCUUUACUGCCUUCUCUCCUAGCAUUGAACAGAUCUUCUCUGCUGUUGAUUAUUCUCCAUGAAUCAUCAUCCAUAGAAAGUGACUGAGGCAAUAGAGAGUGAAUAAUGAAUCUCUCAAAUAGUCUUUUGUGUUUCUGCCUGGAGGGUUUUGGAAAUAACUUGCAUCUUAAUCUUUCUGACUUAGAAUCAUAGAAUUUGGGAGCUGAAAAGGACCUUCAUCAGGGCAUGUG